Molecule: long non-coding RNA, 6333 nt
Filed under: Sus scrofa (pig)
Lineage: Eukaryota; Metazoa; Chordata; Mammalia; Artiodactyla; Suidae
Description: lncRNA (ENSSSCG00000053370.1)
Source: RNAcentral
UAUGUCCAGGCAAUGUUUCCAUAAAACAUUCCCUUAACUACUGCACAUAAUACCUUAAAAAUGUAAAUGUCCUCCUUAAAAUUAGACGUGCUACUUUCAUCUUGGCACCAAAGCCUGAAAUUCAAGUAGCAACCAUAUGAUAAGGUACAUAUUUUUCCAUAUAUUUAAACAUAUGUUAGAUCUACAUGAAUUUCAUAGGGAAAAAAAAAAAGCUAAUUAUUUUAAAAAAAAUCCAUGAAGUCUCUAGGAUAGUUUUAUAAUAGUUGUUGGAGCAAAGUACAAAGAAAUGGAAAUAGUCCUAGGCACAAUCUGCCAAAUCUAUUUAAAUUCCUUUUUUAUCACUAAAUUAAGCAAUAGGCUCUUGAGUCAGAAAAAGUGAAUUAGAAUACUUCAAGUUGGUGAUGCUAUUGGUUCUUGGAAAUAAAUUUCGGAGUAGUAUAUUCUUACAAAAACAACUCAGAUUUUGCAUACUCCCAGCAUCCAAUAUACUCACAUAUUCAUAGGUUUUAUUUCUCUAGAUUAUGAGCCAGCAAAUUAGAGACCGCAGUUCAAAACUGGCCAUUGUCUGUUUUUGGCAUUCUGAUAACUAAGACAAGUUUUUACAUGGUUUUAAAUGAUUGAAAAAAAAUAAUAUAUUUUAUCAUAUGAAUAUUCCAAUUUUACUGUCUAUAGGCAAAGGUUGACUGGAAUGCAGCCAUGUUCAUUUGUUUAUGUAUUGUUUAUGGUUGCAUUCCCACUACAAAUUUGAUAGUUGUAACAGAAACUGAAUGGACUGCAAAGCCUGAAAUAUUUAUUAUCUGAAACUAUAGAAAACAUCUACUGACCCCUGCUUUAGAUACUGAAAUUUUUUCCGUAGCUUAGAAUCUGUUACCUGGUUUGCUUGAUUAUUCAGAGAAAUGGAAAGUAUGAAUUGAAGUUAUCUGUAGGGUUUUUCAAGGCAGGUCUUUGUAUUCUGACCAUUUGUCUUACGGGUCCAAAAUCGAAGCCCUGAGGUUUGCGUAGUGGCCUGGGUUUCCCCCUCGCUGCUGGGUUGAUUCUGCGCCUCGAGCGGCUCUUCCGCGGGGCAGAAGGGCUCCAUUUCCCCUUCUGCCGUCACAAGCCCUUCCUGUGACCUCAUCGUGCUCUUCGCUCUUAAGCCUAAUUUGCUUUUGCGUCAUAUACUCCUUCCCCUCUUACGAUUUCACUUUAUAUUUUACAAAAAAUAAUUCUCUCCACUGUAUGCAUUUUAUAAACCAUAGUUAAAUGGCUCGAUCUCUUUUGUGUUAAGGAUGUUUAAUAAAAGAAGCGGACAUCAAGCAGUGGUGUACAUCAGUUUCCACACGUUUCAUGAUUAAAAUGUUUCCCAAGUGCAUAUAGUGCAUAUCCCUUUACCACUUGGUAACCCAUCAUUCUGUAAAAGCUACCGUUGAUUCUGUUGACAGCUGCGUCUGGGAGGAGAAAUGUUGGACUUCAGCUCUGAAAAAGUGAAUUUGAAGGGUGAUGAUGUAUUUUUAAGAUCUGGGAUUUCUUAUUAACUCAUGUGAUCUGGUUCAUGUUUAUUAGAUUGAUAAAUGUCUACCAAUCGGGUUCAUGUUUAUUAGAUUGAUAAAUGUCUACCAAGUGUCAUUUGGCCGGGUGGGGGACACCGGGUGGGGGGAGACUGCCAUUCCGCUGCUUAGGGAUAUCAAAGUGUGUCGGGAAGAUGGGUCUGUGUGCUCAAGUUAUGACAGCGCCGAGAAAAUACUUGAAACCUUUUCCUCAGAGGUAUUCUCAGAGAACAAAUCUGUCUUCAUGUUUCUAAUUACCAAGACACUUGUGGAGAAACAAAGGUGUUCCUUGUUAUGAUUCUUGUUGCUUUUCAUAAAAUAACAGUUUUGUUGGAGAAUCAUGUCAGAAGAAGUGAGAGCCUCUGUGGAAAAUGAAGAUUAAUAAAGUAAUAAUUCUCAGUAAACUUAUAUGUGUCUUUUCUUUAGUCUUUCUUUUGAAAACGUGCAAGGAGGGAAAUGCCGAAGAACUAAGGAAAAAGUGUUGUGGAAAAAUCGAAGGCUUUAUAAAUGUGGCAUGACUCAUCAGUAAUGGUUUAAGGCUGAGUGGCCUGUGGCUUGCUUUAGAAGAGGAUUUAUGUGGUUGAUGAUCUGAGGAUUUAGCAAAGGUCCAUUCUUAGUUAUGAAGCUUUUUGAAGACAAAUACUAUUAUGUCAUAUUUAAGUGUGUUAUUUUAGUUUAAAUGACACUGCUAAUCUUAGAGCUGUAAAAGGAAAUUAGACUGAUGGUGACAGAAUGCAGGUCUUCAGGAGAAUAGCUAAAAAUUGGAGGUUUGUAACUGGCUGUGAUCGAGUGGUCUGCCUUAGAGGCCUUCUUUGAUGUGCAGUGCCGCUGUGACAUUGUCAGCAAAAACAGAAGCACAAUGUGAGGAAGAAAGUCUGAUUUUUUUUCCCAAUGCUUGAAUCCACGAUUGCCUCAAGCUUGUCUGAAGAGCCACCGUUUUGGUUGUCAAUUUUCCAGUUGCAUUGGUCACGUGAAAAAAAAAAUAAAAGGGGGAACUUUGCAUAGUAAGCCUUUAUAAAUACAUUUGUUUCUUUGAACGAGAAGACUUGCAGAAGACUCAAGAAAAUAACCAGAGACAUAAAGAAGUAUAAUUCUUUUUGAACGACAUCCUUCUGGAACUACUCUAAUUGUUUUUGAAUAAAGAUGCAAACGCAAGUGAAUUCAACCUCAGGCAAUGUAAUUAAUAAUCUUCAGUUUUGCCGGCAGAAAAAACAUUUCCUUGAACAUCAGUCUUUUUGACACUCUCUCCUACUCCCCCCCCCACUGUGAUUCCAAACAAAAAAACAAGCAUGUAUAAAAUUUAUAAUCACUUCUCUAUAAUAGGUUUCAAGUUUUCUUGCCUUUUUGCCAGAGUUAAGAGGAAGGAAAUUAUAGGGGAGUAGAGAACUGCUUCUCAAAUCCAUUAAAAUUUUGUCAUUUCGUCUGAGGCUGGCCUCCUACUGACCACUGCAUCCAUGACUUUGCUAUUUGACUCUUAAUUAAAAGAAACCGAUUCUGCAUGCCGUCUUCUUGAAGAUAGUAUGUCUAAUUAAAAAAAAUUAAGGAUACCACAAACUGAUAGUAGAACAGGGCUCGAUUAUGCCUCUUUUUGGCCACAGGCAGUUGGCAUUGCCUCGGUGAUCAUCAAAUGUAAAGUGAGGGAGAAUACACAACUACCUCAACGACCAGCACUGCUUAAAUAAUAGGGGUCUGAUUUUAUCCAAAACGUCAGUUUGUAUAAACAGUACCAUUUUUAACUAAAAUGUUAAUGCAGACACUUGGGAUUUUUUUCUAUAGGAAUACAUUUUAUGGGAUUCCUUAAACCUUAUAGUUAAAGAUUUUUGGUAUUGUGAGUGAUAAUACAUUUGAUGUUCUAUAGGUUAAUAACUUGUCCAAUUAUUAGGUACUUUUUUGUUUUUUUAACCUUUUCCUCUUUUAGGCAGUAAUUAAUGUCUGGGGAAAAAAAAAAACCACCAAUGUAGCACUCUUAAUUAAAAGAUUCUAAAUGAAUCUGAAAUUUCCCGGAGCACUCAAGUGGAUUUGUUUAAGAAGUGAUUGUUUCAUGGCACAUAAACUAAAAUCAUAAACUGUUGAGAUAAAGGUAGUAUCCAUCUUUGUUUAACAGAAUUGUCUUCUUAGCAGUUUCUUUCCAUUCUACUCAAAAUCUGGUACAAAUAAAAUAAUAAACUUUGUUUCCUGAAAAAAAAAAACCCUUUUUCACAAAUGUUGGACUUUAAAGUAUUUCUUUGGGCUUUCAGAUUUGAAUGAAAAAAAAAAAAGGCAGAAGAAACUCACAAAAGAGGAAGGAAGUCAGAAAAGAAAGAAAGAGCAAGGGAGAAGGAAGAAAAGAAAAGAGGAGAGACAGAGAGGGAUAAGAGAAAAGUCGGAAAGAUGCAUGGAGGCAGGACAUAAAAAGUCAAAUAAGAUGUUGUUUGCAGAGGAUACUCCUGGGUAGCUGUGUAGAAAUAGGUUCUUUGAAGCACAAAAAAUAUUGACUGUGCAGUACCUGAUGACAAUCAUAGUUCUUCAGAAUUCCAGCAGUUUUGUUGUUGUUGCUGUUUCUUUCUUAUACUGACCUAAUAAAUACAUUUCCAAAUGCUUUAGUGCCAAGUCUCAAAAGGUAGUAAAAUAGAGCUGACUAAUGACAGCUAGGAGAAACAAAGCCUGACUAAAAGAAACAGAGAAAUGCAAGCAACCAACUGCUCCAAAUAACUUGAACUUUGUUUUUGGCAGAAACCCAGGAAUUCUUUGACCAAAAGCAUAGAUGCUUUGAAACAGCAAAUUCAGUUGCUUGCCUUUUAAACUUGCCACAUGGUUUCCAAAAGCUAAGAACCUUGUUUUCUACUUCAGUCGUAAGUAGUGCUUUGAAAUACAGUCACCUGGGGGAGGAGGGGUGCUUUUUUAGGUAGUAUUUCUUAAAGUCCCACUUUAGCCUUUCCCUACCUGAAUCAUCCCAUUUUUAUUCUUGAUUUUCAGUUGGUCAUCAUUAUAAGCAAGAAUGGUGUAUUAAAAGCUAUAGUUAAGAGUCUAGAUGGAAAAAUCAAUAAGACACAUUUUCCAAGCAAAAAUCAAUAAUACUUAAAACAACUUUUCUUACCUUACAGGCAAAUCCUUUUGUGCUAAAUAACUAAGUUUCAUGUUCCUGUGACCAUGUUCUGUCUGACUUACCAUGUCCCUUUAUGUUUUUAUGAAUGGUCAUCAGGCUAAUUAAUUCUGACAACACUAGCUGCUAAAAAUGUGAUAAUGUGAAAGAUUUGGAUAAAUGGCUUAGCUCAGAAACUAUUCUGAUUGCAAUGAUUAGAUAUGUAUUCCAUUAUACAAUGAGGACAACAUAAUCUGAAAGUCCCUGAAAUUUCUAAGAAUAGUAGCAGUGUUCGUCUAUGAUACCAAUUAAUGAAGUUAAUUGGCUUGCUUACGGCCUUUCAAAACCUUGUUAGUGAUCAAGUUAGUUAAUGAUUGAAGAUUAAUGCUGGUUCAGACAUUGCUUACUCAGUAGCUGUGAGUAUAACAAUAAAAUGAGAAGUACUGUUUACUCCCUGCCAUACAUAAUGCUAGCUCUUUUGUAUGCAUUAUUUUUACUUUUCAAAAUAGCCCUGCAAGAUACAGUCCACAUCCUCUCUACAUUGAAUCCUAUGGAAUCUGAUAACAUUAGAGGUAAAACACAUAAAGAGCUUAGAGCAGAAUUAAGAUUCAAACCCACAACUUUAUAAUGUCAAAACAUUUGUCUCACUCUGUAUUACAAAUACUCCUCUGAUUUAUUGGCAGAAGCAUGAGCCAAGUAUUGAAAUGGCACAUAGCUUAUUGCCUAAACUGUGCUGCUCUUAAUAUUCAUAAGGGAAUUACUCUUUAAUUCAUUCAGAGUUAAGUAUGUAAUACACACGUAGGUUAUGUCAGGACUAUUUUGCUGCAUUUUCAUUUUUUUUCAUUCUUUAUGUUUUAAUUUUUCUUUUCCAUGUAUAUAAUUCUGUGCUUAUGCUUAAUAUUCACUCAUGGUUUAUGGCAUGUAUGAGUAAUCUCUUAUUUCUCCAGUUUUCUGAGACUGGGGGGGGGCGGUUUCAGAGCCCUGAAUUCACCCAUUCUGGGUCUUAGUAGGUCAGGGGAGGGUUCUCAUGUCUCUGAUUUGAACUGAAGGCUGGAGUGAAAGUGAGACCAUAUAGCUGCAGGCCAUUUUUCAGAGUGAUGAGGCCAGAUCAGUCCAACGUAGUGACCAUACACCAGAAAAUCAGAAGACAUUAGUAAGAGUGUGUAUCCCUGCCUUAAGUAUGUUUGAUUUCAUCAUUUUUACUCUGUCAACCUCCCAUUUAAAUAUACUUAAUUAACUCACCUCGCACCUCCCUCUGUAUUGUUGGUAUUAUUUUCUCAUUUCUUCCCUCUUUUAAAAAUAACUUUUGUAUUUUGUUAACUUUGAAGACCUAUAAUUUUAUACUUUAUAGUAUUUUGGUUAUUAAUUUCGUACAUUCAUAUUAAUAUUUUAUGUAAUGCUUUUUAGAUUUUUAAUUUUUUUACACUGUAAAAUAUGAAUUGUUUUUGUUAUAAUCCUUAUUUUAAAUCUCAUUGCUUUAAUUGUUAACUUUGAUUAUAUAUUUUAUUCUCUCUUUGUGAAUACUUCUUUAAAAUUAAUAUUUGGCAUUCCCAUCAUGGUUCAGUGGUUAAUGAAUCUGACUAGUAUCCACGAGGAAAUGGGUUUGAUCCCUGGCCUCGCUCAGUGGGUUAAGGAUCCAGUAUUGUUGUGAACUGUGGUGUAGGUCACAGACAUGACCUGGAGCCCACAUUGCUGUGACUCGGAUUUGACCCCUAGCCCAGGAACCUCCAUAUGCCAUGGUGCAGC